RNAcentral lists this ribosomal RNA (676 nucleotides) under uncultured bacterium. Its description in RNAcentral is "bacterial SSU rRNA". It matches the Rfam family "Bacterial small subunit ribosomal RNA", at positions 8 to 694 of the family's 1533-position model. The record is from RNAcentral.
AGAGUUUGAUCCUGGCUCAGGACGAACGCUGGCGGUGUGCUUCACACAUGCAAGUCGAGCGAAUGAAGAAGGUAGCUUGCUACUUUUGGAUUUAGCGGCGGACGGGUGAGUAAUAUAUAGGAAUCUGCCCUAGAGCGGGGAACAACAGACCGAAAGGUUUGCUAAUGCCCCAUAGGUACGCAGUCUUCGGAUUGUUUAUUAAAGGAGUAAUCCACUCUAGGAUGAGCCUGUAUCCGAUUAGCUAGUUGGCGGGGUAAAGGCCCACCAAGGCUACGAUCGGUAGUUGGUCUGAGAGGAUGAUCAGCCACAAUGGGACUGAGACACGGCCCAUACUCCUACGGGAGGCAGCAGUGGGGAAUUUUACACAAUGGGGGAAACCCUGAUGUAGCGACACCGCGUGAACGAAGAAGCCUUUUGGGGUGUAAAGUUCUGUCGGCUGAAACGAAAAAAAUGACGGUACCAGCAAAGGAAGCAUCGGCUAACUACGUGCCAGCAGCCGCGGUAAGACGUAGGAUGCAAGCGUUGUCCGGAUUUAUUGGGCGUAAAGAGUUCGUAGGCGGUUAUUUAAGUCUGGUGUUAAAUACUGUGGCCCAACCACAGAACUGCAUUGGAUACUGGAUGACUUGAGUGCGGUAGAGGCGAGUGGAAUUCCCAGUGUAGCGGUGAAAUGCGUAGA